This 318-nucleotide long non-coding RNA is filed under the name Mytilus galloprovincialis (Mediterranean mussel). The record is from RNAcentral. Lineage: Eukaryota; Metazoa; Mollusca; Bivalvia; Mytilida; Mytilidae.
AAAUCCCUUUUAAAAGUUAUUUCUCAUUUUAAUUGAUUAUUAUAUACAAUUAUAUAAAAUCGACUCAUGUUUGAUACUGCUUAAAGAUUUUGUACCAUAUAAUUACCUGAUGCACUGUUCUCUCGUGUCGUCGUAGGGCAUCUCUUGACUUGUAGGUUUUUGUGCAAAUUCCACACCCUAGUUGGUUUUCUGUGUGAAAAAAUCUCUUAUGUCUUGAAAGACCUGAUCUGGAUUUAAAUUCCUUUUUACAGAUAUUAACACAAAUGUAAGUCUGACAUAUUAAAACAAAGCAUUUAAAAUAUAUGAUCACAUUUUUAG